GUGCAGAUUAUUCCCAGUUCCCCAUACACUUACACAGUUGGAAGCUGGUGAGCAAAGCAAAGAGGGAACAUGUGUACGACAUGCUUAAGCGGGUCUUUUACUAUGAGGACGAUGCCGGAGGAAAAA
Arachis ipaensis is the source of this 126-nucleotide non-coding RNA. Lineage: Eukaryota; Viridiplantae; Streptophyta; Magnoliopsida; Fabales; Fabaceae. The record is from RefSeq and is a predicted model, not a curated record.